AGUUCGGAUUGUAGUCUGCAACCCGACUACAUGAAGCCGGAAUCGCUAGUAAUCGCGGAUCAGAAUGCCGCGGUGAAUACGUUCCCGGGUCUUGUACACACCGCCCGUCACACCAUGGGAGUUGGAAAUGCCCGAAGUCAGUGGCCCAACCGGAAGGGGGGAGCUGCCGAAGGCAGGUUCGAUGACUGGGGUGAAGUCGUAACAAGGUACC
Molecule: ribosomal RNA, 211 nt
Filed under: uncultured bacterium
Lineage: Bacteria
Description: partial 16S ribosomal RNA
Rfam family: Bacterial small subunit ribosomal RNA
Source: RNAcentral